AUUGAACGCUGGCGGCAGGCCUAACACAUGCAAGUCGAACGGUAACAGGAAACAGCUUGCUGUUUCGCUGACGAGUGGCGGACGGGUGAGUAAUGUCUGGGAAACUGCCUGAUGGAGGGGGAUAACUACUGGAAACGGUAGCUAAUACCGCAUAACGUCGCAAGACCAAAGAGGGGGACCUUCGGGCCUCUUGCCAUCGGAUGUGCCCAGAUGGGAUUAGCUAGUAGGUGGGGUAACGGCUCACCUAGGCGACGAUCCCUAGCUGGUCUGAGAGGAUGACCAGGCACACUAGAAAUGAGACACGGUCCAGACUCCUACGGGAGGCAGCAGUGGGGAAUAUUGCACAAUGGGCGCAAGCCUGAUGCAGCCAUGCCGCGUGUAUGAAGAAGGCCUUCGGGUUGUAAAGUACUUUCAGCGGGGAUGAAGGGAGUAAAGUUAAUACCUUUGCUCAUUGACGUUACCCGCAGAAGAAGCACCGGCUAACUCCGU
This 489-nucleotide ribosomal RNA is filed under the name uncultured bacterium. RNAcentral describes it as "partial 16S ribosomal RNA". It matches the Rfam family "Bacterial small subunit ribosomal RNA", at positions 30 to 506 of the family's 1533-position model. The record is from RNAcentral.